Harmonia axyridis is the source of this 209-nucleotide small nucleolar RNA. RefSeq annotates it as small nucleolar RNA U3. The record is from RefSeq and is a predicted model, not a curated record. The transcript has a single exon. Lineage: Eukaryota; Metazoa; Arthropoda; Insecta; Coleoptera; Coccinellidae.
AAGAUCAUACUUCACAGGAUCAUUUCUGUAGUAUAUCUUCACACAUUCUCAACUCAAAUUGAGAGUGGUUUGCAACCUCGACGAUGAGGCGAAGUAUCGUUUCCUGAGCGUGAGACAGGCCCUUGGACUUCCACAAGGAAAUCUUCGUGGCCAACGAUGAUCGUUCGACUGGAUUUUCCAGUUUAUGGAAACGAUACAUUCUGAGAGGU